CUGCUGCCUCCCGUAGGAGUCUGGUCCGUGUCUCAGUACCAGUGUGGGGGACCGUUCCUCUCAGAACCCCUACCGCAUCGUCGCCUUGGUGGGCCGUUACCCCGCCAACUAGCUAAUGCGCCGCAUGCCCAUCCGUCUCCGAUAUUCUUUCAAAACCAGACGAUGCCGUCCAGCUUCAUACGGGGUAUUAGACGCCGUUUCCGACGAUUAUCCCCCUGAGACGGGCAGGUUGCAUACGUGUUACUCACCCGUGCGCCGGUCGCCGG
This 266-nucleotide ribosomal RNA is filed under the name uncultured bacterium. RNAcentral describes it as "partial 16S ribosomal RNA". The record is from RNAcentral.